CAAUUUUUUUGUGUUAUAUUCUAUCUUUGAUUUUGUGUUCAAUACUUGUUAAUUUCUAUUAGUUUCUAUUUUUGUGUUAUAUCCUUUUUCCAAAUAAGUUUUAUUAGUUUUUAUGCUUUUGAUGUGGAUGCUUUUGAUGAAGGAGAGCCCAACAUUGAAACAACUAUGCUGCCUCCUUGGAAUUAAAUUUAUUAGACACCGUUUAUGUUUUAUGUUUAAAACUUAUUUGGAUUUUUAUUUUGUACUAUUUUAAUGUGUGUGAUGUGAUGACAAUGUUUAAGAUUUUAAUUUAAGAACUNN
This 300-nucleotide long non-coding RNA is filed under the name Trifolium pratense (red clover). RNAcentral's name for it is "long non-coding RNA (TPRA_LNC005355)". Lineage: Eukaryota; Viridiplantae; Streptophyta; Magnoliopsida; Fabales; Fabaceae. The record is from RNAcentral.